AUUAGAUACCCUGGGUAGUCCACGCAGUAAACGAUGAAUACUAAUUGUCCGGGGCGAAUGAGCCCUGGGUGAUACAGCGAAAGCGUUAAGUAUUCCACCUGGGGAGUACGCCGGUAACGGUGAAACUCAAAGGAAUUGACGGGGGCCCGCACAAGCGGAGGAACAUGUGGUUUAAUUCGAUGAUACGCGAGGAACCUUACCCGGGCUCAAACGGCACAGGAAUACUUUUGAAAGGAGGUAGCCCUACGGGGCCUGUGCCGAGGUGCUGCAUGGUUGUCGUCAGCUCGUGCCGUGAGGUGUCGGCUUAAGUGCCAUAACGAGCGCAACCCCCACCGUCAGUUGCCAGCAGGUAAGGCUGGGGACUCUGACGGGACUGCCGGCGCAAGCUGUGAGGAAGGCGGGGAUGACGUCAAAUCAGCACGGCCCUUACGUCCGGGGCGACACACGUGUUACAAUGGCAGGUACAGAGAGAAGCCAGGUGGUGACACCGAGCGGAACUUCAAAGCCUGUCUCAGUUCGGAUCGGAGUCUGCAACCCGACUCCGUGAAGCUGGAUUCGCUAGUAAUCGCGCAUCAGCCAUGGCGCGGUGAAUACGUUCCCGGGCCUUGUACACACCGCCCGUCAAGCCAUGGAAGCCGGGAGUGCCUGAAGUGUGCGACCGCAAGGAGCGCCCUAAGGUAAAACCGGUGACUGGGGCUAAGUCGUAACAAGGUACC
RNAcentral lists this ribosomal RNA (716 nucleotides) under uncultured bacterium. RNAcentral's name for it is "bacterial SSU rRNA". It matches the Rfam family "Bacterial small subunit ribosomal RNA", at positions 777 to 1500 of the family's 1533-position model. The record is from RNAcentral.